UUCCAGAUCAUGCAAACUGCCAUCCUUUCCAAUCCAUUCUUUUUUCAUUUAUUAAAAGUCAAAGAGAUAAACAACAAUUAAAGGGAAUGAAUCAAACUCAAAUAUCAAGUCUGAAACACCACAUACAUGUAACAAAAAAUAAAUUAAUGAAUCACACUCCAAUCUUAUGUCACUCUGCCACUGGUUUUUCUAAAAUUUUGGCAGAAUAAUAUAGUACCAUGAACAUGGUAGAAAAUGCUAAACUAGAGAUGGAAAACCUCAAUUUUCCACUGCUUUUCACUGUACUUACAAGCCUUUAUAUACAUACAAACCCCUCGUAUAUGUACAUGUAACUUCAAGGUAAAGUUUCUAAACCUAUCAAAGAAGUGAAAAAAAAGAAAAGAAAAAGACACCAAGGGGCAGAUUCUUGCUACAAAACCGCCAAUAUAUGAUCAGGUAACUGCAACCCCAAACCCGUUUCUGUUGCCAUUCAAUAAACAAAACCUGGAAGGCUUAGGCUGGAAAUUCCUCCUCCUUUGCAUGUCAUGGCUGGAUGGCUUAAUUAUUUGGAGCAGAAUCGCCUUGAUGGAAUUUGCUUUGGCUAUGACAGCUAAUUCCCAGUGAUUUGGUGAGACGCGAACCACCCUUGUCCGACCGGGUGGCUUGUUGAAAUUCCUGUGCAGGUUGCACCUGAAGGAGCCUGGGUGUGUGGUAGGGGAACAUAGGCAUGUACGGGACGUCGGUGACUUGGAGCUUGAUGAUGAUGCAUUUUUGGAGGCCAUGGGAGUGGUUCAAAACUUCAACCGGAAAGAGGGGAGCUAAGAGGUCGAUUUUUCUUUUCUGUGUGGCAAACUAAUGGAGGGUAGGAGAAUAUGGGGGGUUUUAUAGCUUUGAAAGCCUGUUUAAGUGACCUUUAAAACCUUUUGCUUUCAUAUAUUUCUAACGGCAUGACCUUAUGGUUUUUUGGGUUAUGAACAGAGAUCUUGUUAUGGGUUGGGUAUCUAAAAGAGAAUUUGUUAAGUGAAAUACCAGUUUAUUCGUAUUUAAAUAUUUAGUUUAUUAAUUCAUACAUGAUUUCUUACUUAAAAAGUAAAUUUGAAUUCUCUUUCUCCUAAUUAUAAAAUAAAAUUACCAAUUUAUCCGCUAACACACGUUUUGUUUUUACGUGUAACAGUCAUACAACAAACCAUUAGUUUACUUUUUCAGUGUAUGGAAUCAGCUGGAAAUAACGGGGUCUAUCCAAC
Molecule: long non-coding RNA, 1223 nt
Filed under: Theobroma cacao (cacao)
Lineage: Eukaryota; Viridiplantae; Streptophyta; Magnoliopsida; Malvales; Malvaceae
Description: long non-coding RNA (TCAC_LNC005167)
Source: RNAcentral